UAUUGAAGAAGUUCUCUGGGACAGUACGCGGUGGUGGACAAAGCUAUGCUGACCGGCAUUAGAAGAAAGUGAAAGAUACUGCAUGUAUCUUAGACGUCUGUCCCAGGGCUCCCAACGGUCACUGUGGUGUUCUGGCACUCAGUGUCCACUUCACCUGGCGAUUUUCUGAUUACUGUCACAUGCAAUCGGCUCUACUCUACUGUCACUGGCUGCAUGCACCUCCCAGGAGGAGAAUCUCCGUGGUGUCUCCUCUUCCUUGGUGCUCCAGACUCUCCCUGAUGGCCCCUCUCUGGAGCUGGAAGUAUCUUCUUUGGCUCGCUGGCCGCCAAUCUGGAUGAAGCAGUGGCUCCAGAAGUGCUGCACGGGGCCCUGUUUCCUGCUGGCAUUCUCUGCCUCAUCUAAGCCUCACCUCUGCUCCUUGGGCCUGGGCACAACUGUACAAGGGUUUUUUCUUCUCCUUCCUUGGCCAAGUGUUCCAGGAAACCGGAAAAAGUAGAUGAGCAACUUCUCAGAGCUCAGUACUAUUUCUACACACGCUUCCUCAUCCACUCUAUCCUUUGCUGGGUUAUGGAGAAGAAUAGGAAGAAGCUCUGCCAGCUUUUUUUGAGCAAUCUUUAUUGGCUGCUUCUAACCCCAGGAGGUGGGAAAGUGAGGCAGGCAGCCAAAAGCAAAGGAAAAGGCCAAAAUUCAUUAAAUGGCCAAAGCUUUUCUCAUGAGAGCCAUUGUGAAUUUAGGCUUGCAUCAAGAUGUUAAAGCCCUCAAAGGAAGGGCUCUACCCAUUCCAGAGUUUGUAGCCAUCUGUGAAAUUUGAGUCCAGAUCUUGGUUUGGACUUUGAUACCCUGAACAUUUAAAAGAUCAUGGUUGUAGUUUGAGUGCAUUUAUAGUGUAAAGAGUCUUCUGACUGCCAGCUACCUUCAAGAAGUGAGAGACCUGCUGCACUGGUUGAGUAAUGUAAGCUUACAAAAUGAAGACUCACAAAAAAUGAAAUGGCCAGUAAAAAAGAUAAAUAUGCCAUCUGAUACUUCAGGAGAUCAAAGAACUCUAAAAUUCCAGCAAAUUGUGGCGAGUGUUUUGCUUCUGCACUUGUUAACUGAUUGCACAGGAGGAAAGACAAAGGAGAGAAGCUCGGUUUAGGCAUCUGCUUGCCUGUGAACUGUGACAAAGACAUGAAGAGGCAUUUACUUGUUAUCAUCAGCCCAGAGAGAGCCGUUCUGAGAAUGGAAAUGCUAAUCAUCAAUCUCCCAGUGCAUGCAAUGUCUCUGUUUAAUAGCUGAUAGAGCGUCUCCAAAGGGGUUUUUUUUGCUCUUUGUUUAAAAUGACAUAUAAUGGACCUGGACUUAUCAGUGUCUCUAAAUGCAUUUUCUGUGCUUUAUCCUUACUAAGGGAUUUAGUCCAUUCAAAUGAAUAUGUGCAGAAUUGAUUUUGAGCUUGGUAUAAUUUAAUCCAUCAAUUUAACAUUAAAUUAAUAUGCAAAGGGGGUCUCUUUGUGGAUGAAAAACAGAAGGCAAAGAUUCUUAUUAAUUUAAAAUGGACUUGAGAAAUGGAAAGAGGCUGCUGCUAUUAGUAUCUGCCAUUGGGCUCAACCACUGGCUUGUGCAUUACCUAGUGUGAAUACUGCAGCUGUUAAAAUGGCUAUUCAGAGAUCCCCAAAACAUGACAAGCUUAAAACUCAGAAGAAUGUAGUAAUUUCAUUAGGCUUAGAAUUAAAAGGAGGGCUUUCCUAUAACUCUGAAACUGGGCACGCUGCCAUCCUUGUACUAAAGAAACCGUUUUGUACUGAUAAUCUGUUGCGCCAUAUUUGCUGGACCUGAAUUGAAAAGCAUGUGUGGAAUGUAACAUUGAUUAUACAAUUUGAAAUUACAUCAAGCAGCAAGGUUUUAAACAUUGCUUUUAACUGAUUACAGAUAACUUUGAUCUACAGCGAUCUAUUAGAACCCUCCACAAAGAAUUAAUUCAACCAGUGCCAGUAUGAAAAAAAGGGUAAUUAAAAAAAUUGGAACUAAAGGAAGUAGAAGAGGCAUACAUAGUUAGAAAGAGGCACAUAAAAGACAGAAACAAUCCUGAUAAAAGUUGAGCAUUUAUUUGCUUGUUUAAUGGAAAAUUCUUAAACCAAAACAUUGUGAAUUGUGCCCGCUUUUGUGGAGCUACUUUAGAAGAGGAUGUUGAAGGUUUGUCAAAAAAAUGUUCUGCUGGCUUCUUAUAAAUAAUAUA
Molecule: long non-coding RNA, 2212 nt
Organism: Alligator mississippiensis (American alligator)
Lineage: Eukaryota; Metazoa; Chordata; Crocodylia; Alligatoridae
Exons: 3
Source: RefSeq, a predicted model, not a curated record